GAGGAGCCUGCGGCAGAUUAGCUAGUUGGUAGGGUAACGGCUUACCAAGGCGACGAUCUGUAGCCGGCCUGAGAGGGCGGUCGGCCACACUGACACUGACAUACGGGUCAGACUCCUACGGGAGGCAGCAGUCGGGAAUUUUGGGCAAUGGGCGAAAGCCUGACCCAGCAACGCCGCGUGAAGGAUGAAAUCCCUCGGGAUGUAAACUUCGCAAGAAUGGGAAGAAUUAGUAGGGGCUAAUACCCCCUAUGAUGACGGUACCAUUUGUAAGCUCCGGCUAACUCCGUGCCAGCAGCCGCGGUAAUACGGGGGGAGCAAGCGUUGUUCGGAUUUACUGGGCGUAAAGGGCGCGUAGGCGGCCAGCGCAAGUCGGUUGUGAAAUCUCCGGGCUUAACUCGGAAAGGUCAACUGAUACUGCGCGGCUAGAGUGCAGAAGGGGCAACUGGAAUUCUCGGUGUAGCGGUGAAAUGCGUAGAUAUCGAGAGG
This 486-nucleotide ribosomal RNA is filed under the name uncultured Acidobacteriota bacterium. RNAcentral's name for it is "bacterial SSU rRNA". It matches the Rfam family "Bacterial small subunit ribosomal RNA", at positions 224 to 704 of the family's 1533-position model. The record is from RNAcentral. Lineage: Bacteria; Pseudomonadati; Acidobacteriota.